Non-coding RNA from Dermacentor andersoni, 88 nucleotides. The record is from the annotation of a RefSeq genome assembly. NCBI's taxonomy places the organism in Eukaryota, Metazoa, Arthropoda, Arachnida, Ixodida, Ixodidae.
GGUCUCAUGGUGUAAUGGUCAGCACUUUGGACUUUGAAUCCAGCGAUCCGAGUUCAAAGUGAGACCAAGUGAGGUCUCGGUGAGACCU